UGGGGAAUAUUGCACAAUGGGCGCAAGCCUGAUGCAGCCAUGCCGCGUGUAUGAAGAAGGCCUUCGGGUUGUAAAGUACUUUCAGCGGGGAGGAAGGGAGUAAAGUUAAUACCUUUGCUCAUUGACGUUACCCGCAGAAGAAGCACCGGCUAACUCCGUGCCAGCAGCCGCGGUAAUACGGAGGGUGCAAGCGUUAAUCGGAAUUACUGGGCGUAAAGCGCACGCAGGCGGUUUGUUAAGUCAGAUGUGAAAUCCCCGGGCUCAACCUGGGAACUGCAUCUGAUACUGGCAAGCUUGAGUCUCGUAGAGGGGGGUAGAAUUCCAGGUGUAGCGGUGAAAUGCGUAGAGAUCUGGAGGAAUACCGGUGGCGAAGACGGCCCCCUGGACGAAGACUGACGCUCAGGUGCGAAAGCGUGGGGAGCAAACAGG
Molecule: ribosomal RNA, 429 nt
Filed under: Chloroflexota bacterium
Lineage: Bacteria; Bacillati; Chloroflexota
Description: Chloroflexi bacterium partial 16S ribosomal RNA
Rfam family: Bacterial small subunit ribosomal RNA
Source: RNAcentral